GCCCACGUAGCCCAACCGGCAGCAUGGCAAGGAAUUUAAAAUUCUUAAAGUGUGGGUUCGAAUCCCACCGUGGGUACCA
This 79-nucleotide transfer RNA is filed under the name Caulobacteraceae bacterium. Its description in RNAcentral is "tRNA-Leu". It matches the Rfam family "tRNA". From Rfam's summary of the family: Transfer RNA (tRNA) molecules are approximately 80 nucleotides in length. Their secondary structure includes four short double-helical elements and three loops (D, anti-codon, and T loops). Lineage: Bacteria; Pseudomonadati; Pseudomonadota; Alphaproteobacteria; Caulobacterales; Caulobacteraceae. The record is from RNAcentral.